AGCGGUUAAGACACCGCCCUUUCACGGCGGUAACACGGGUUCGAAUCCCGUACGGG
RNAcentral lists this transfer RNA (56 nucleotides) under Priestia aryabhattai. RNAcentral describes it as "Bacillus aryabhattai tRNA-OTHER". It matches the Rfam family "tRNA", at positions 14 to 63 of the family's 71-position model. From Rfam's summary of the family: Transfer RNA (tRNA) molecules are approximately 80 nucleotides in length. Their secondary structure includes four short double-helical elements and three loops (D, anti-codon, and T loops). Lineage: Bacteria; Bacillati; Bacillota; Bacilli; Caryophanales; Bacillaceae. The record is from RNAcentral.